CCUACGGGAGGCAGCAGUAGGGAAUCUUCCACAAUGGGCGAAAGCCUGAAGGAGCAAAGCCGCGUGGGUGAAGACUGCCCUAUGAUCGUUAAACCUCGUUGUUAUGGGAGUAAGUGCGUCAGAGUAACUGUUCACGUUUCGACCGUAUGUAACCAGAAAGCCACGGCUAACUACGUGCCAGCAGCCGCGGUAAUACGUAGGUGGCAUGCUUUGUCCGGAUUUAUUGGGUUAAAUGGGUGCGCGGGCGGAAGAUCAAGUUAGCGGUAAAAUUGGGGGGCUCAACCUCGUCGAGCCGUUGAAACUGGUUUUCUUGAGUGCGUGAGAAGUAUGCGGAAUGCGUGGUGUAGCGGUGAAAUGCAUAGAUAUCACGCAGAACUCCGAUUGCGAAGGCAGCAUACCGGCGCUCAACUGACGCUGAUGCACGAAAGUGUGGGUAUCGAACAGGAUUAGAUACCCUUGUAGUC
RNAcentral lists this ribosomal RNA (464 nucleotides) under uncultured bacterium. RNAcentral's name for it is "partial 16S ribosomal RNA". It matches the Rfam family "Bacterial small subunit ribosomal RNA", at positions 338 to 795 of the family's 1533-position model. The record is from RNAcentral.